AGCGUACACGGUGGAUGCCCUGGCAGUCAGAGGCGAUGAAGGACGUGCUAAUCUGCGAAAAGCGCCGGUAAGGUGAUAUGAACCGUUAUAACCGGCGAUGUCCGAAUGGGGAAACCCGGUGCACUUCGGUGCAUCAUCGUUAGCUGAAUACAUAGGCUAACGAGGCGAACCGGGGGAACUGAAACAUCUAAGUACCCCGAGGAAAAGAAAUCAACCGAGAUUCCCCCAGUAGCGGCGAGCGAACGGGGAACAGCCCAGAGCCUGAAUCAGCUUGUGUGUCAGUGGAACGGUCUGGAAAGGCCGGCGAUACAGGGUGACAGCCCCGUACACGAAGGCACACAGGCUGUGAGCUCGAUGAGUAGGGCGGGACACGUGAUAUCCUGUCUGAAGAUGGGGGGACCAUCCUCCAAGGCUAAAUACUCCUGACUGACCGAUAGUGAACCAGUACCGUGAGGGAAAGGCGAAAAGAACCCCGGCGAGGGGAGUGAAACAGAACCUGAAACCGUGUACGUACAAGCAGUGGGAGCCUUCGUAAGAGGGUGACUGCGUACCUUUUGUAUAAUGGGUCAGCGACUUAUAUUCUGUAGCAAGGUUAACCGUAUAGGGGAGCCGAAGGGAAACCGAGUCUUAACCGGGCGUUAAGUUGCAGGGUAUAGACCCGAAACCCGGUGAUCUAGCCAUGGGCAGGUUGAAGGUUGGGUAACACUAACUGGAGGACCGAACCGACUAAUGUUGAAAAAUUAGCGGAUGACCUGUGGCUGGGGGUGAAAGGCCAAUCAAACCGGGAGAUAGCUGGUUCUCCCCGAAAGCUAUUUAGGUAGCGCCUCGUGAACUCAUCUCCGGGGGUAGAGCACUGUUUCGGCUAGGGGGCCAUCCCGGCUUACCAACCCGAUGCAAACUGCGAAUACCGGAGAAUGUUAUCACGGGAGACACACGGCGGGUGCUAACGUCCGUCGUGAAGAGGGAAACAACCCAGACCGCCAGCUAAGGUCCCAAAGUCAUGGUUAAGUGGGAAACGAUGUGGGAAGGCCCAGACAGCCAGGAUGUUGGCUUAGAAGCAGCCAUCAUUUAAAGAAAGCGUAAUAGCUCACUGGUCGAGUCGGCCUGCGCGGAAGAUGUAACGGGGCUAAACCAUGCACCGAAGCUGCGGCAGCGACGCUUAUGCGUUGUUGGGUAGGGGAGCGUUCUGUAAGCCUGCGAAGGUGUGCUGUGAGGCAUGCUGGAGGUAUCAGAAGUGCGAAUGCUGACAUAAGUAACGAUAAAGCGGGUGAAAAGCCCGCUCGCCGGAAGACCAAGGGUUCCUGUCCAACGUUAAUCGGGGCAGGGUGAGUCGACCCCUAAGGCGAGGCCGAAAGGCGUAGUCGAUGGGAAACAGGUUAAUAUUCCUGUACUUGGUGUUACUGCGAAGGGGGGACGGAGAAGGCUAUGUCGGCCGGGCGACGGUUGUCCCGGUUUAAGCGUGUAGGCUGACUUUCCAGGCAAAUCCGGAAGGUUAAGGCUGAGGCGUGAUGACGAGGCACCACGGUGCUGAAGUGACAAAUGCCCUGCUUCCAGGAAAAGCCUCUAAGCAUCAGGUAACAUCAAAUCGUACCCCAAACCGACACAGGUGGUCAGGUAGAGAAUACCAAGGCGCUUGAGAGAACUCGGGUGAAGGAACUAGGCAAAAUGGUGCCGUAACUUCGGGAGAAGGCACGCUGACAUGUAGGUGAAGCCCCUGCGGGUGGAGCUGAAGUCAGUCGAAGAUACCAGCUGGCUGCAACUGUUUAUUAAAAACACAGCACUGUGCAAACACGAAAGUGGACGUAUACGGUGUGACGCCUGCCCGGUGCCGGAAGGUUAAUUGAUGGGGUUAUCGCAAGAGAAGCUCCUGAUCGAAGCCCCGGUAAACGGCGGCCGUAACUAUAACGGUCCUAAGGUAGCGAAAUUCCUUGUCGGGUAAGUUCCGACCUGCACGAAUGGCGUAAUGAUGGCCAGGCUGUCUCCACCCGAGACUCAGUGAAAUUGAACUCGCUGUGAAGAUGCAGUGUACCCGCGGCAAGACGGAAAGACCCCGUGAACCUUUACUACAGCUUGACACUGAACAUUGAGCCUUGAUGUGUAGGAUAGGUGGGAGGCUUUGAAGCGUGGACGCCAGUCUGCGUGGAGCCGACCUUGAAAUACCACCCUUUAAUGUUUGAUGUUCUAACCUGGCGCCAUAAUCUGGCGUGGGGACAGUGUCUGGUGGGUAGUUUGACUGGGGCGGUCUCCUCCCAAAGUGUAACGGAGGAGCACGAAGGUCAGCUAAUCCUGGUCGGACAUCAGGAGGUUAGUGCAAUGGCAUAAGCUGGCUUGACUGCGAGAGUGACGGCUCGAGCAGGUGCGAAAGCAGGUCAUAGUGAUCCGGUGGUUCUGUAUGGAAGGGCCAUCGCUCAACGGAUAAAAGGUACUCCGGGGAUAACAGGCUGAUACCGCCCAAGAGUUCAUAUCGACGGCGGUGUUUGGCACCUCGAUGUCGGCUCAUCACAUCCUGGGGCUGAAGUAGGUCCCAAGGGUAUGGCUGUUCGCCAUUUAAAGUGGUACGCGAGCUGGGUUUAGAACGUCGUGAGACAGUUCGGUCCCUAUCUGCCGUGGGCGCUGGAGAAUUGAGGGGGGCUGCUCCCAGUACGAGAGGACCGGAGUGGACGCAUCACUGGUGUUCGGGUUGUCAUGCCAAUGGCACUGCCCGGUAGCUAAAUGCGGAAGAGAUAAGUGCUGAAAGCAUCUAAGCACGAAACUUGCCCCGAGAUGAGUUCU
This 2772-nucleotide ribosomal RNA is filed under the name Cronobacter sakazakii. RNAcentral's name for it is "bacterial LSU rRNA". It matches the Rfam family "Bacterial large subunit ribosomal RNA". The record is from RNAcentral. Lineage: Bacteria; Pseudomonadati; Pseudomonadota; Gammaproteobacteria; Enterobacterales; Enterobacteriaceae.